UAACAAGGAUUCCCCUAGUAACUGCGAGUGAAGCGGGAAAAGCUCAAAUUUAAAAUCUGGCAGUCUUUGAUUGUCCGAGUUGUAAUCUGGAGAAGCGUUUUCUGCGCUGGACCGUGUACAAGUCUCUUGGAACAGAGCGUCAUAGAGGGUGAGAAUCCCGUCUUUGACACGGACUACCAGUGCUUUGUGAUGCGCUCUCAAAGAGUCGAGUUGUUUGGGAAUGCAGCUCAAAAUGGGUGGUAAAUUCCAUCUAAAGCUAAAUAUUGGCGAGAGACCGAUAGCGAACAAGUACCGUGAGGGAAAGAUGAAAAGCACUUUGGAAAGAGAGUUAAACAGUACGUGAAAUUGCUGAAAGGGAAACGCUUGAAGUCAGUCGCGUUUGCUAGUACUCAGCCUUCCUUUUGGUUGGUGCAUUUACUAGUUAACGGGCCAGCAUCAGUUUUGGUUGCGGGAUAAAGGUCAGAGGAAUGUGGCAACCUCGGUUGUGUUAUAGCCUCUGGUCAUAUACCGUGACUGGGACUGAGGAUCUCAGCACGCCUUUAUGGCGGGGGUUCGCCCACCUUCGUGCUUAGGAUGCUGGCGUAAUGGCUUUAAACGAC
Molecule: ribosomal RNA, 599 nt
Filed under: Phanerochaete sp. 3 KUC20131022-20
Lineage: Eukaryota; Fungi; Basidiomycota; Agaricomycetes; Polyporales; Phanerochaetaceae
Description: eukaryotic LSU rRNA
Rfam family: Eukaryotic large subunit ribosomal RNA
Source: RNAcentral